ACGAACGCUGGCGGCGUGCUUAACACAUGCCAGUCGCACGGAAAGGCCCUGCUUUUGUGGGGUGCUCGAGUGGCGAACGGGUGAGUAACACGUGAGUAACCUGCCCUUGACUUUGGGAUAACUUCAGGAAACUGGGGCUAAUACCGGAUAGGAGCUCCUGCUGCAUGGUGGGGGUUGGAAAGUUUCGGCGGUUGGGGAUGGACUCGCGGCUUAUCAGCUUGUUGGUGGGGUAGUGGCUUACCAAGGCUUUGACGGGUAGCCGGCCUGAGAGGGUGACCGGCCACAUUGGGACUGAGAUACGGCCCAGACUCCUACGGGAGGCAGCAGUGGGGAAUAUUGCACAAUGGGCGGAAGCCUGAUGCAGCAACGCCGCGUGCGGGAUGACGGCCUUCGGGUUGUAAACCGCUUUCGCCUGUGACGAAGCGUGAGUGACGGUAAUGGGUAAAGAAGCACCGGCUAACUACGU
This 466-nucleotide ribosomal RNA is filed under the name uncultured bacterium. Its description in RNAcentral is "partial 16S ribosomal RNA". It matches the Rfam family "Bacterial small subunit ribosomal RNA", at positions 29 to 506 of the family's 1533-position model. The record is from RNAcentral.